CCUACGGGAGGCAGCAGUGGGGAAUAUUGCACAAUGGGCGCAAGCCUGAUGCAGCCAUGCCGCGUGUAUGAAGAAGGCCUUCGGGUUGUAAAGUACUUUCAGCGGGGAGGAAGGCGAUAAGGUUAAUAACCUUGUCGAUUGACGUUACCCGCAGAAGGAGCACCGGCUAACUCCGUGCCAGCAGCCGCGGUAAUACGGAGGGUGCAAGCGUUAAUCGGAAUUACUGGGUGUAAAGCGCACGCAGGCGGUUUGUUAAGUCAGAUGUGAAAUCCCUGGGCUCAACCUGGGAACUGCAUUUGAAACUGGCAAGCUAGAGUCUCGUAGAGGGGGGUAGAAUUCCAGGUGUAGCGGUGAAAUGCGUAGAGAUCUGGAGGAAUACCGGUGGCGAAGGCGGCUCCCUGGACGAAGACUGACGCUCAGGUGCGAAAGCGUGGGGAGCAAACAGGAUUAGAUACCCCUGUAGUC
This 465-nucleotide ribosomal RNA is filed under the name uncultured bacterium. RNAcentral's name for it is "bacterial SSU rRNA". It matches the Rfam family "Bacterial small subunit ribosomal RNA", at positions 338 to 795 of the family's 1533-position model. The record is from RNAcentral.